GCGCGAGUGGCGGAAUUGGCAGACGCGCAGGCUUCAGGUGCCUGUGUCCUUCGGGACGUGAGGGUUCAAGUCCCUUCUUGCGCA
RNAcentral lists this transfer RNA (84 nucleotides) under Methanobacteriota archaeon. RNAcentral describes it as "Euryarchaeota archaeon tRNA-Leu". It matches the Rfam family "tRNA". Rfam says of the family: Transfer RNA (tRNA) molecules are approximately 80 nucleotides in length. Lineage: Archaea; Methanobacteriati; Methanobacteriota. The record is from RNAcentral.